RNAcentral lists this ribosomal RNA (356 nucleotides) under Nitrosospira sp. RNAcentral describes it as "bacterial SSU rRNA". It matches the Rfam family "Bacterial small subunit ribosomal RNA", at positions 1 to 359 of the family's 1533-position model. The record is from RNAcentral. Lineage: Bacteria; Pseudomonadati; Pseudomonadota; Betaproteobacteria; Nitrosomonadales; Nitrosomonadaceae.
AAACUGAAGAGUUUGAUCCUGGCUCAGAUUGAACGCUGGCGGCAUGCUUUACACAUGCAAGUCGAACGGCAGCACGGGGGCAACCCUGGUGGCGAGUGGCGAACGGGUGAGUAAUAUAUCGGAACGUGCCCAGUCGUGGGGGAUAACGUAGCGAAAGUUACGCUAAUACCGCAUACGAUCUAAGGAUGAAAGCGGGGGAUCGCAAGACCUCGCGCGAUUGGAGCGGCCGAUAUCAGAUUAGGUAGUUGGUGGGGUAAAGGCUCACCAAGCCAACGAUCUGUAGCUGGUCUGAGAGGACGACCAGCCACACUGGGACUGAGACACGGCCCAGACUCCUACGGGAGGCAGCAGUGGGG